UUUUUUAAUGUUUAUGUAGAAUAUCUGAAAUUCCUGUAAUCUCUGUUACUUUUUUUUCUUUUCUGUUUCAGUAUAAAUAGUGAAUUUUUACUUAAGGAAGGUGUAUGUUAUUUCAGUAGAGUCCCGACAUGAAUUCCAAACUUUGCUUAUUUCUUGUUGUUAUUGCCCUUUUCGCUGCUUUAGCGACGGCAGAUCCAACACUAGGACUUAUAAAGGAGGUAGCUGACGAAGUACUGAGCACAUUUGGAGUGCACAAUGAUGAUGGAAGUGAUGUACAGACACAAACUGUGGUACACCAUCACCAUCACCAAUCAUAAUUGAACUGCGUUCGUAUUAUUCUCCAAAUCAAACUGGAUAUUUAUUUCGGAUUAAAAUUAAUUGACUACUGAAA
Parasteatoda tepidariorum (common house spider) is the source of this 391-nucleotide non-coding RNA. The record is from RefSeq and is a predicted model, not a curated record. Lineage: Eukaryota; Metazoa; Arthropoda; Arachnida; Araneae; Theridiidae.